GGCAGUCGUGGCUUAAUGCUUAGUGAGUCGGACUUGUAACCCGAAGGUUGUGGGUUCGAGUCUCAGGUCUGGUA
Non-coding RNA from Pangasius djambal, 74 nucleotides. Lineage: Eukaryota; Metazoa; Chordata; Actinopteri; Siluriformes; Pangasiidae. The record is from the annotation of a GenBank genome assembly.